Molecule: ribosomal RNA, 490 nt
Filed under: uncultured bacterium
Lineage: Bacteria
Description: partial 16S ribosomal RNA
Rfam family: Bacterial small subunit ribosomal RNA
Source: RNAcentral
AUUGAACGCUGGCGGCAGGCCUAACACAUGCAAGUCGAAUGGUAACAGGAAACAGCUUGCUGUUUCGCUGACGAGUGGCGGACGGGUGAGUAAUGUCUGGGAAACUGCCUGAUGGAGGGGGAUAACUACUGGAAACGGUAGCUAAUACCGCAUAACGUCGCAAGACCAAAGAGGGGGACCUUCGGGCCUCUUGCCAACAGAUGUGCCCAGAUGGGAUUAGCUAGUAGGUGGGGUAACAGCUCACCUAGGCGACGAUCCCUAGCUGGUCUGAGAGGAUGACCAGCCACACUGGAACUGAGACACGGUCCAGACUCCUACGGGAGGCAGCAGUGGGGAAUAUUGCACAAUGGGCGCAAGCCUGAUGCAGCCAUGCCGCGUGUAUGAAGAAGGCCUUCGGGUUGUAAAGUACUUUCAGCGGGGAGGAAGGGAGUAAAGUUAAUACCUUUGCUCAUUGACGUUACCCGCAGAAGAAGCACCGGCUAACUCCGUG